GACGAACGCUGGCGGCGUGCUUAACACAUGCAAGUCGAACGGAAAGGCCCUGCUUUUGUGGGGUGCUCGAGUGGCGAACGGGUGAGUAACACGUGAGUAACCUGCCCUUGACUUUGGGAUAACUUCAGGAAACUGGGGCUAAUACCGGAUAGGAGCUCCUGCUGCAUGGUGGGGGUUGGAAAGUUUCGGCGGUUGGGGAUGGACUCGCGGCUUAUCAGCUUGUUGGUGGGGUAGUGGCUUACCAAGGCUUUGACGGGUAGCCGGCCUGAGAGGGUGAACGGCCACAUUAGGACUGAGAGACGGCCCAGACUCGUACGGGAGGCAGCAGUGGAGAGUAUUGCACAGUGGGCGGAAGCCUGAUGCAGCAGCGCCGCGUGCGGGAUGACGGCCUUCGGGUUAUAAACCGCUUUCGCCUGUGACGAAGCGUGAGUGACGGUAAUGAGUAAAGAAGCAACGGCUAACUACGUG
Molecule: ribosomal RNA, 468 nt
Filed under: uncultured bacterium
Lineage: Bacteria
Description: partial 16S ribosomal RNA
Rfam family: Bacterial small subunit ribosomal RNA
Source: RNAcentral